AACCUCCGCAAUGUGAGAAAUCGCGACGGGGGGAUCCCAAGUGCCAUUCUUAACGGGAUGGCUUUUCAUUAGCGUAAAGAGCUUUUGGAAUAAGAGCUGGGCAAGACCGGUGCCAGCCGCCGCGGUAACACCGGCAGCUCUAGUGGUAGCAAUUUUUAUUGGGCCUAAAGCGUCCGUAGCCGGCUUAAUAAGUCUCUGGUGAAAUCCUGUAGCUUAACUGUGGGAAUUGCUGGAGAUACUAUUAGACUUGAGACCGGGAGAGGUUAGAGGUACUCCCAGGGUAGAGGUGAAAUUCUGUAAUCCUGGGAGGACCGCCUGUUGCGAAGGCGUCUAACUGGAACGGUUCUGACGGUGAGGGACGAAAGUUAGGGGCGCGAACCGGAUUAGAUACCCGGGUAGUCCUAACUGUAAACGAUGCGGACUUGGUGUUGGGGUGGCUUUGAGCUGCUCCAGUGCCGAAGGGAAGCUGUUAAGUCCGCCGCCUGGGAAGUACGGUCGCAAGACUGAAACUUAAAGGAAUU
This 521-nucleotide ribosomal RNA is filed under the name uncultured bacterium. RNAcentral's name for it is "bacterial SSU rRNA". It matches the Rfam family "Archaeal small subunit ribosomal RNA", at positions 345 to 866 of the family's 1478-position model. The record is from RNAcentral.